GAUGAACGCUGGCGGCGUGCCUAAUACAUGCAAGUCGAGCGAACAGACGAGGAGCUUGCUCCUCUGACGUUAGCGGCGGACGGGUGAGUAACACGUGGAUAACCUACCUAUAAGACUGGGAUAACUUCGGGAAACCGGAGCUAAUACCGGAUAAUAUAUUGAACCGCAUGGUUCAAUAGUGAAAGACGGUUUUGCUGUCACUUAUAGAUGGAUCCGCGCCGCAUUAGCUAGUUGGUAAGGUAACGGCUUACCAAGGCAACGAUGCGUAGCCGACCUGAGAGGGUGAUCGGCCACACUGGAACUGAGACACGGUCCAGACUCCUACGGGAGGCAGCAGUAGGGAAUCUUCCGCAAUGGGCGAAAGCUUGACGGAGCAACGCUGCGUGAGUGAUGAAGGUCUUCGGAUCGUAAAACUCUGUUAUUAGGGAAGAACAAAUGUGUAAGUAACUAUGCACGUCUUGACGGUACCUAAUCAGAAAGCCACGGCUAACUACGUG
RNAcentral lists this ribosomal RNA (497 nucleotides) under uncultured bacterium. Its description in RNAcentral is "partial 16S ribosomal RNA". It matches the Rfam family "Bacterial small subunit ribosomal RNA", at positions 28 to 507 of the family's 1533-position model. The record is from RNAcentral.